This is a long non-coding RNA of Oreochromis niloticus (Nile tilapia), 240 nucleotides long. RefSeq lists it as uncharacterized. The transcript is spliced from 2 exons. The record is from RefSeq and is a predicted model, not a curated record. NCBI's taxonomy places the organism in Eukaryota, Metazoa, Chordata, Actinopteri, Cichliformes, Cichlidae.
UGAGUUUACGGAGUUGUGGCAUCCCCUCCCUGUGCUGCCUUGUCCUCACUGUGUAUUUUUUCUUCAGCUUGGAAAGGAUUAUGUGACUUACCAAAAUGAGAUCUUCUACAACAAGAAUUACCAGAAUAUGGUUUCUAAUGAUGUGACUGAGAGGGUGAUCGUGCAGUGUACAUAUCCUCUAUCUAGUCUCCGUCAGCUCUUCACAAUGUACAGAUUUGUGUCUGACACGGUUGGUGUUGG